This 240-nucleotide unclassified non-coding RNA is filed under the name soil metagenome. RNAcentral describes it as "partial contains 5.8S ribosomal RNA, internal transcribed spacer 2, and large subunit ribosomal RNA". The record is from RNAcentral.
AACCUUAUGGACCUGCGGGCGUAUACCUGCGGAGGGAUCAUUACCGAGUGUGGCCCCAUUUUUAUAAAAAGGGGUACCUCCCGUCCUUUGCAGGGCCCUUUGGGGCUUUUUGAACUUUGCUUCGGCGGGUUUUAUCCCGCCGGAACACCCUCAAGAAAAUCUUUUAUAAAAACUGUUUGUCUGAGGCACUUGCGAAUUAUAAAACAAAACUUUCAACAAUGGAUCUCAGAUCGGAAGAGC